RNAcentral lists this ribosomal RNA (460 nucleotides) under uncultured bacterium. RNAcentral's name for it is "partial 16S ribosomal RNA". It matches the Rfam family "Bacterial small subunit ribosomal RNA", at positions 338 to 795 of the family's 1533-position model. The record is from RNAcentral.
CCUACGGGGGGCAGCAGUGAGGAAUAUUGGUCAAUGGACGCAAGUCUGAACCAGCCAUGCCGCGUGCAGGAAGACGGCUCUAUGAGUUGUAAACUGCUUUUGUACGAGGGUAAACGCAGAUACGCGUAUCUGUCUGAAAGUAUCCUACGAAUAAGGAUCGGCUAACUCCGUGCCAGCAGCCGCGGUAAUACGGAGGAUUCAAGCGUUAUCCGGAUUUAUUGGGUUUAAAGGGUGCGUAGGCGGUCGUAUAAGUUAGAGGUGAAAUCCCGAGGCUCAACUUCGGAAUUGCCGCUGAUACUGUUCGGCUAGAGAGUAGUUGAGGUAGGCGGAAUGUAUGGUGUAGCGGUGAAAUGCUUAGAGAUCAUACAGAACACCGAUUGCGAAGGCAGCUUACCAGGCUACUUCUGACGUUGAGGCACGAAAGCGUGGGGAGCGAACAGGAUUAGAUACCCUUGUAGUC